GAGCACUGUUUCGGCAAGGGGGUCAUCCCGACUUACCAACCCGAUGCAAACUGCGAAUACCGGAGAAUGUUAUCACGGGAGACACACGGCGGGUGCUAACGUCCGUCGUGAAGAGGGAAACAACCCAGACCGCCAGCUAAGGUCCCAAAGUCAUGGUUAAGUGGGAAACGAUGUGGGAAGGCCCAGACAGCCAGGAUGUUGGCUUAGAAGCAGCCAUCAUUUAAAGAAAGCGUAAUAGCUCACUGGUCGAGUCGGCCUGCGCGGAAGAUGUAACGGGGCUAAACCAUGCACCGAAGCUGCGGCAGCGACGCUGAUGCGUUGUUGGGUAGGGGAGCGUUCUGUAAGCCUGUGAAGGUGUGCUGUGAGGCAUGCUGGAGGUAUCAGAAGUGCGAAUGCUGACAUAAGUAACGAUAAAGCGGGUGAAAAGCCCGCUCGCCGGAAGACCAAGGGUUCCUGUCCAACGUUAAUCGGGGCAGGGUGAGUCGACCCCUAAGGCGAGGCCGAAAGGCGUAGUCGAUGGGAAACAGGUUAAUAUUCCUGUACUUGGUGUUACUGCGAAGGGGGGACGGAGAAGGCUAUGUUGGCCGGGCGACGGUUGUCCCGGUUUAAGCGUGUAGGCUGGUUUUCCAGGCAAAUCCGGAAAACUAAGGCUGAGGCGUGAUGACGAGGCACUACGGUGCUGAAGCAACAAAUGCCCUGCUUCCAGGAAAAGCCUCUAAGCAUCAGGUAACAUCAAAUCGUACCCCAAACCGACACAGGUGGUCAGGUAGAGAAUACCAAGGCGCUUGAGAGAACUCGGGUGAAGGAACUAGGCAAAAUGGUGCCGUAACUUCGGGAGAAGGCACGCUGAUAUGUAGGUGAAGUCCCUCGCGGAUGGAGCUGAAAUCAGUCGAAGAUACCAGCUGGCUGCAACUGUUUAUUAAAAACACAGCACUGUGCAAACACGAAAGUGGACGUAUACGGUGUGACGCCUGCCCGGUGCCGGAAGGUUAAUUGAUGGGGUCAGCGCAAGCGAAGCUCUUGAUCGAAGCCCCGGUAAACGGCGGCCGUAACUAUAACGGUCCUAAGGUAGCGAAAUUCCUUGUCGGGUAAGUUCCGACCUGCACGAAUGGCGUAAUGAUGGCCAGGCUGUCUCCACCCGAGACUCAGUGAAAUUGAACUCGCUGUGAAGAUGCAGUGUACCCGCGGCAAGACGGAAAGACCCCGUGAACCUUUACUAUAGCUUGACACUGAACAUUGAGCCUUGAUGUGUAGGAUAGGUGGGAGGCUUUGAAGUGUGGACGCCAGUCUGCAUGGAGCCGACCUUGAAAUACCACCCUUUAAUGUUUGAUGUUCUAACGUUGACCCGUAAUCCGGGUUGCGGACAGUGUCUGGUGGGUAGUUUGACUGGGGCGGUCUCCUCCUAAAGAGUAACGGAGGAGCACGAAGGUUGGCUAAUCCUGGUCGGACAUCAGGAGGUUAGUGCAAUGGCAUAAGCCAGCUUGACUGCGAGCGUGACGGCGCGAGCAGGUGCGAAAGCAGGUCAUAGUGAUCCGGUGGUUCUGAAUGGAAGGGCCAUCGCUCAACGGAUAAAAGGUACUCCGGGGAUAACAGGCUGAUACCGCCCAAGAGUUCAUAUCGACGGCGGUGUUUGGCACCUCGAUGUCGGCUCAUCACAUCCUGGGGCUGAAGUAGGUCCCAAGGGUAUGGCUGUUCGCCAUUUAAAGUGGUACGCGAGCUGGGUUUAGAACGUCGUGAGACAGUUCGGUCCCUAUCUGCCGUGGGCGCUGGAGAACUGAGGGGGGCUGCUCCUAGUACGAGAGGACCGGAGUGGACGCAUCACUGGUGUUCGGGUUGUCAUGCCAAUGGCACUGCCCGGUAGCUAAAUGCGGAAGAGAUAAGUGCUGAAAGCAUCUAAGCACGAAACUUGCCCCGAGAUGAGUUCUCCCUGACUCCUUGAGAGUCCUGAAGGAACGUUGAAGA
RNAcentral lists this ribosomal RNA (1962 nucleotides) under Escherichia coli. Its description in RNAcentral is "partial 23S ribosomal RNA". It matches the Rfam family "Bacterial large subunit ribosomal RNA", at positions 905 to 2844 of the family's 2925-position model. The record is from RNAcentral. Lineage: Bacteria; Pseudomonadati; Pseudomonadota; Gammaproteobacteria; Enterobacterales; Enterobacteriaceae.